Durio zibethinus is the source of this 1991-nucleotide long non-coding RNA. RefSeq lists it as uncharacterized. NCBI's taxonomy places the organism in Eukaryota, Viridiplantae, Streptophyta, Magnoliopsida, Malvales, Malvaceae. The record is from RefSeq and is a predicted model, not a curated record.
UUUCCAUGCCUUCACAUGGUUCAAUCCAAUCUCCCAAUGGGUAAAAAAAAAAAAAAAGGAGCUUGCUUGCUCAGCUCCACCAGGGUCCAGAUGGGUGGUGACUGAUAGCCAGGCCCCUAUUUGCAUUCUAAAAGAUGAGACGGUCGGAAUCAUAAGGUUGGAGCAAAACCCAUGUUUUUCCCACAAAUCUGCUAUAAUCUGAAAUCGAUUUGGCUCUGGUUUUGUCAUUAUUUGGUUAGAUCUCUUAAGCAAAAUACCUUUUCUUCAGUUUCAGAGAGAGAGAAUGUGUGUGUGUGUGUUGGUGUAUAUUAUGAGGGUGUGUAUCAUCAGAAACGAGGGGUGUAGAAAGGGUGGGGGGACUAGUGGCAGGUGAGAUGAGGAAACGCAAGAAAUGACUGAAGGGAGGGUGGGUUUUUUCACCAGUAACGAGGGAAGAGAAGAGAAUAACCAUGUUGAUGAUCCUUUGAUCCUUCUAUUCUAAAUAUGCCAUCCAUAAAGGGCAUGAACCAUCCAAUCUGAUUAUAUUUCUCUUUCUUUCCGGGUCUGAAACCCGCCUCUUCUUCUUCCUCUUUAAUUAAUUACACUCAGCACCCUCUCUCUACCAGUCCCCUACCCCUCUCUCUCUCUCUCUUAAUUACUGUUCUUCAUUGCAUCUUAAAUAGGAGAACCCCAUCAGUCCCUAGUCCAGUCUUCUGCUCUCUUAUUGAGUUAUUGUCAUUAACACUUUUCUCUCCUCAUCGUGUGCGUGUUUUGCGUGUCUUUCAGUGGCGAAUAUAAUGACUGUUUUCUUUUUUUGCUUUCAUGGGGGUUUAGCAAAGGGCUUCUUACAGAGUUUAUUGGCAUUCUGUCCACCUCCCAUCAUGGAAAGGCCCUCUUCUUUUCGCUUCUGAUCUUUCAUGGAGGUGGGCAUACUGCCAACUGAUCUCUGUUGGCUUCUCUUUGUAAAACCCUUGUGAUGCAUUUUCUUCCAGCUUUUCUCUUCCUCUGAUAUGGAUCCAGGGUUUGAUUGUCAACAGUGAUCUACUAAAAAUAGGUCUGAGGGGUGCUGCCAUCUAGGGUUUAUGAUCGGCCUCUCGUUUGUAUGUGCAUCUGAGUCAGGAAAGAUCCAUGAUUAGAACCAUUUGUAAAGAUAGAAGGAUCUAUUCAAUUUGAUAAUCUAAAUCCAAACCCUUCAAAAUAAAAGGGCGGAAAUUGCAUAAUUAUCCUGAAAAAACCAAAGGACAAGAAGAUUUGUCAGAGUUUCGUGAGACCCAAAUGAUGACUCCAUUGAAGGUUUUGAAUUAAACUUUUUGUUUGAUGAGACACCUUUAAUAGUACUGUUUGUAUAUAAUCAUGUUGAUUAUUAGAUAUCGGAUUACAAUCAAAGCAAAAAGAUUCUUUUUUAUGUUCUUGGCCUCUUGCAUGAUUGCCACCAAUUUCACAAUGUCAGUCAUUUAUCAACUAAAUUGUAUAGUAUUAAUUAAAUCAUACACUCUGCACUGUUAAAUCUGUAGGACAGGGUCUUUUAAUAUUAGGGCAGCUAGCCCUAGUACUGCUGACAAUUUCUACACUCUCCCAAACCUUAUACGUAGCCUCAUGAUUGAAAUACUGACAAUUUAAACGCAAAGAAAGAGAAAGGAUACCACAGGCCUUUCUAGUGCGUGAUGGUAAACGUCCAGUCACCCAAAUCAACUGUAGUUGCCGGACAGCGAUAUUUUCACUCCUAUAUUUCUUUCACUUAUUUUUUUCUCACCUUUUCCUUUUUCAUCUCUGAAGGAGGGAUGGACUGAUAAAUUAAGCUUGAGCUUUCUUUAUGGUGGUCGGAUAGAGAUGAUAAAAAGAAUGAAGAGGGACAAUGCAAAACUUUGAGAGUAUUAGCGAUAUGGGCAAUGCAAUGAACAGUUAACAAUAAGAGAAUGAAAAAAGAAAUGGGACUUUGAUUGUGAUUCUGUGGUGUUUUCAUUGUGUCUAUAGUCCAUAGGUUUUCAUGAGUUUUCGAGGUGUCUGAAUAG